RNAcentral lists this ribosomal RNA (803 nucleotides) under Streptomyces sp. RNAcentral describes it as "bacterial SSU rRNA". It matches the Rfam family "Bacterial small subunit ribosomal RNA", at positions 67 to 883 of the family's 1533-position model. The record is from RNAcentral. Lineage: Bacteria; Bacillati; Actinomycetota; Actinomycetes; Kitasatosporales; Streptomycetaceae.
CGAUGAACCUCCUUCGGGAGGGGAUUAGUGGCGAACGGGUGAGUAACACGUGGGCAAUCUGCCCUGCACUCUGGGACAAGCCCUGGAAACGGGGUCUAAUACCGGAUAUGAGCCUGGGAGGCAUCUCCCGGGUUGUAAAGCUCCGGCGGUGCAGGAUGAGCCCGCGGCCUAUCAGCUUGUUGGUGAGGUAACGGCUCACCAAGGCGACGACGGGUAGCCGGCCUGAGAGGGCGACCGGCCACACUGGGACUGAGACACGGCCCAAACUCAUACGGGAGGCAGCAGUGGGGAAUAUUGCACAAUGGGCGCAAGCCUGAUGCAGCGACGCCGCGUGAGGGAUGACGGCCUUCGGGUUGUAAACCUCUUUCAGCAGGGAAGAAGCGAAAGUGACGGUACCUGCAGAAGAAGCGCCGGCUAACUACGUGCCAGCAGCCGCGGUAAUACGUAGGGCGCAAGCGUUGUCCGGAAUUAUUGGGCGUAAAGAGCUCGUAGGCGGCUUGUCGCGUCGGAUGUGAAAGCCCGGGGCUUAACCCCGGGUCUGCAUUCGAUACGGGCAGGCUAGAGUUCGGUAGGGGAGAUCGGAAUUCCUGGUGUAGCGGUGAAAUGCGCAGAUAUCAGGAGGAACACCGGUGGCGAAGGCGGAUCUCUGGGCCGAUACUGACGCUGAGGAGCGAAAGCGUGGGGAGCGAACAGGAUUAGAUACCCUGGUAGUCCACGCCGUAAACGGUGGGCACUAGGUGUGGGCAACAUUCCACGUUGUCCGUGCCGCAGCUAACGCAUUAAGUGCCCCGCCUGGGGAGUAC